CACAACUUUGAAAAAUUUGAUCAUCAAAAGUUUCAAACUAUUUUCACUCUGAAACAGAAAUGGCUUGUGGCUGCAAAUGUGGUGAUAGUUGCUCAUGUGGAGACGGCUGCAACUGCCAAUCUGGGACCAUCACAGAGGCAAUUUCCCUGAUGAUGAGUGGGUGCAGCUGUGGGAGUAGCUGCUCUUGCGACUCAUGCGAUUGCGAGUGAGCAAUUAGAAAGAAGGGAAGAAGGCUCACACAACAAAGCUUUUGAAUAAAGUUGAUGAAUUCUGUUUUUUCUUUUUCCCUCUUCUUUGUGUUGUGAAAAGACUGUCAUUGAAACCGUGAGUCCAUAUGGAAUGGGGUUUUUCAUGGCUUCUUGUGUGAGUGAACUAUGUUCUGCUUUGUUGUGGGUUGGGUUCGUUGUUAUAUUCAUCAAAGCUUUUA
This is a long non-coding RNA of Benincasa hispida (wax gourd), 427 nucleotides long. RefSeq lists it as uncharacterized. NCBI's taxonomy places the organism in Eukaryota, Viridiplantae, Streptophyta, Magnoliopsida, Cucurbitales, Cucurbitaceae. The record is from RefSeq and is a predicted model, not a curated record.